GUGCCAGCAGCCGCGGUAAUACGGAGGGGGCUAGCGUUGUUCGGAAUUACUGGGCGUAAAGCGCACGUAGGCGGAUCGGAAAGUUGGGGGUGAAAUCCCGGGGCUCAACCUCGGAACUGCCUCCAAAACUAUCGGUCUUGAGUUCGAGAGAGGUGAGUGGAAUUCCGAGUGUAGAGGUGAAAUUCGUAGAUAUUCGGAGGAACACCAGUGGCGAAGGCGGCUCACUGGCUCGAUACUGACGCUGAGGUGCGAAAGCGUGGGGAGCAAACA
This 270-nucleotide ribosomal RNA is filed under the name uncultured Rhodobacterales bacterium. RNAcentral's name for it is "partial 16S ribosomal RNA". It matches the Rfam family "Bacterial small subunit ribosomal RNA", at positions 505 to 774 of the family's 1533-position model. The record is from RNAcentral. Lineage: Bacteria; Pseudomonadati; Pseudomonadota; Alphaproteobacteria; Rhodobacterales.